UUAAUUAAUUAAUUAAUUAAUUAUAUAUUUUUUGUAAUCUUAAAUAAUAUGACUAAAUAAUAUAACUGUACGAACCAAACACUCAAAUACUACAUUCUUAGUAAUAUGAUGAAUAGGAAUAAGAUUCUCGGAUAUCUUUUUACUCCUAAUAAUCUUUCAUUGUGCGAACCAAACACGCCCUUAAUGUAAUUUAACUCUUUAACUAGGAGAAACACAAUA
Molecule: long non-coding RNA, 219 nt
Filed under: Ananas comosus (pineapple)
Lineage: Eukaryota; Viridiplantae; Streptophyta; Magnoliopsida; Poales; Bromeliaceae
Description: long non-coding RNA (ACOM_LNC039707)
Source: RNAcentral